GACGAACGCUGGCGGCGCGCCUAACACAUGCAAGUCGAACGAGAGAUGAGGAGCUUGCUCUUCAAAUCGAGUGGCGAACGGGUGAGUAACGCGUGAGGAACCUGCCUCAAAGAGGGGGACAACAGUUGGAAGCGACUGCUAAUACCGCAUAAGCCCACGGCUCGGCAUCGAGCAGAGGGAAAAGGAGCAAUCCGCUUUGAGAUGGCCUCGCGUCCGAUUAGCUAGUUGGUGAGGUAACGGCCCACCAAGGCGACGAUCGGUAGCCGGACUGAGAGGUUGAACGGCCACAUUGGGACUGAGACACGGCCCAGACUCCUACGGGAGGCAGCAGUGGGGAAUAUUGCACAAUGGGGGAAACCCUGAUGCAGCGACGCCGCGUGGAGGAAGAAGGUCUUCGGAUUGUAAACUCCUGUUGUUGAGGAAGAUAAUGACGGUACUCAACAAGGAAGUGACGGCUAACUACGUGCCAGCAGCCGCGGUAAAACGUAGGUCACAAGCGUUGUCCGGAAUUACUGGGUGUAAAGGGAGCGCAGGCGGGAGAACAAGUUGGAAGUGAAAUCCAUGGGCUCAACCCAUGAACUGCUUUCAAAACUGUUUUUCUUGAGUAGUGCAGAGGUAGGCGGAAUUCCCGGUGUAGCGGUGGAAUGCGUAGAUAUCGGGAGGAACACCAGUGGCGAAGGCGGCCUACUGGGCACCAACUGACGCUGAGGCUCGAAAGUGUGGGUAGCAAACAGGAUUAGAUACCCUGGUAGUCCACACCGUAAACGAUGAUUACUAGGUGUUGGAGGAUUGACCCCUUCAGUGCCGCAGUUAACACAAUAAGUAAUCCACCUGGGGAGUACGACCGCAAGGUUGAAACUCAAAGGAAUUGACGGGGGCCCGCACAAGCAGUGGAGUAUGUGGUUUAAUUCGACGCAACGCGAAGAACCUUACCAAGUCUUGACAUCCCUUGACGAACAUAGAAAUAUGUUUUCUCUUCGGAGCAAGGAGACAGGUGGUGCAUGGUUGUCGUCAGCUCGUGUCGUGAGAUGUUGGGUUAAGUCCCGCAACGAGCGCAACCCUUAUGGUCAGUUACUACGCAAGAGGACUCUGGCCAGACUGCCGUUGACAAAACGGAGGAAGGUGGGGAUGACGUCAAAUCAUCAUGCCCUUUAUGACUUGGGCUACACACGUACUACAAUGGCGUUAAACAAAGAGAAGCAAGACCGCGAGGUGGAGCAAAACUCAGAAACAACGUCCCAGUUCGGACUGCAGGCUGCAACUCGCCUGCACGAAGUCGGAAUUGCUAGUAAUCGUGGAUCAGCAUGCCACGGUGAAUACGUUCCCGGGCCU
Molecule: ribosomal RNA, 1332 nt
Filed under: uncultured bacterium
Lineage: Bacteria
Description: bacterial SSU rRNA
Rfam family: Bacterial small subunit ribosomal RNA
Source: RNAcentral